RNAcentral lists this ribosomal RNA (421 nucleotides) under uncultured bacterium. RNAcentral describes it as "bacterial SSU rRNA". It matches the Rfam family "Bacterial small subunit ribosomal RNA", at positions 356 to 773 of the family's 1533-position model. The record is from RNAcentral.
AAGGAAUAUUGGUCAAUGGAGGGAACUCUGAACCAGCCAUGCCGCGUGCAGGAUGAAAGCCCUCUGGGUUGUAAACUGCUUUUAACAGGGAAGAAAAUGCUAUACGCGAUAUAGUACUGACGGUACCUGAGGAAUAAGCACCGGCUAACUCCGUGCCAGCAGCCGCGGUAAUACGGAGGGUGCAAGCGUUAUCCGGAAUCACUGGGUUUAAAGGGUGCGUAGGCGGUUUUAUAAGUCAGUGGUAAAAGGUUGUAGCUCAACUAUAAGAGGUCCAUUGAUACUGUAAGACUUGAAUCGAGUUGAGGUUGGCGGAAUGAGACAUGUAGCGGUGAAAUGCUUAGAUAUGUCAUAGAACACCAAUUGCGAAGGCAGCUGACUAGACUUAGAUUGACGCUGAGGCACGAAAGUGUGGGUAGCGAAC